RNAcentral lists this ribosomal RNA (301 nucleotides) under uncultured bacterium. RNAcentral's name for it is "partial 16S ribosomal RNA". It matches the Rfam family "Bacterial small subunit ribosomal RNA", at positions 509 to 807 of the family's 1533-position model. The record is from RNAcentral.
CAGUCGCCGCGGUAAUACGAAGGGUGCAAGCGUUACUCGGAAUUACUGGGCGUAAAGCGUGCGUAGGUGGUGGUUUAAGUCCGUUGUGAAAGCCCUGGGCUCAACCUGGGAAUUGCAGUGGAUACUGGCUCGCUAGAGUGUGUCAGAGGAUGGUGGAAUUCCCGGUGUAGCGGUGAAAUGCGUAGAGAUCGGGAGGAACAUCAGUGGCGAAGGCGGCCAUCUGGGACAACACUGACGCUGAGGCACGAAAGCGUGGGGAGCAAACAGGAUUAGAGACCCCCGUAGUCCCUGUCUCUUAUAC